CUGUGAUAAUUAUUUUUCGAGAAACAUAUGACAAAGGGUAAUGAAUUAAAAAUAUAUAUAUUUUUUUUGUUAUGAAUGGGUCAAUCGGAGGACCUGACAGACUAAUGACAUGCCCAAUAAGAUAGGUUGCCUAGAAUAGAACUGGAUCAUCUCUUUGUAUUUGAGCUUUAGUAGUGAAAACCAAAGUUUGCUGCGUGUUUCUUUCAAAUAGUUGCCAGCCGAAGACAGACCUGACACCCAAAGGCAGUAACAAAGAAACAGGCUUU
Molecule: long non-coding RNA, 266 nt
Filed under: Sorghum bicolor (sorghum)
Lineage: Eukaryota; Viridiplantae; Streptophyta; Magnoliopsida; Poales; Poaceae
Description: long non-coding RNA (SBIC_LNC014963)
Source: RNAcentral